CUAUCUCGUAUCUCUCUCCACCGCUCACAGUAUGUUCUCAAUUCUUUUCCUUUUAUGUUCACCGCCGUCGCUCAAUCCCUCUUUUCUUAGGAGUUUUCGGUUGAACCUCACCUCUUUCUCAUCCUUUUUUUUUCUUUAAUGUUGCUGCUCUGCUCUCAAUUUUCUUCAUCGCCGCCGCCGAGCCUAUCUUUUCUGCCCGCCGAAAAUAUAAACAAAGAAUCUAAGCCAGCAACCCCUUUCUUCUCCAAAUCGUCGUUGUCUACCCAGAUCUUCAUACGACGCCGUUGAAGCUUUACUUCCUAACAUUACUUCUCCCUAAAUUUAUCGAUUCAUCUCUCUCGCUUCACAGUUCAGACUCGUCUCCUCUUAUAUGCUCUUUCCUUUUUGGUCGCCGUAUUUGAAUUGAUGCGGGCUAGUUGAUUUCUAGCUUUUUGUUUGGGAUUCAAUUUGUAAUUGCAAUAGCCCUAAAUUGCUAUCCAGUUUGUAUUUGAUCCUAAUGAUGCCCUAAUUGGAUUACGCCCAAUUAGUGGACACCCUAUCGUAGUGGGUCUCGAUAGAUUUUUUUUUUUUUUUGAGGUGAAGGUCUCGAUAGAUUUAUAAAUGACUGAAAGUAUGAAGUGGUUUUCAGAAUUUUUAUAGUGGUUUUCAUUAAUAUUUGUAUAGAUUUUUAUAUAAUUGUAUAUACAUAGUGGUUUUUAUAUUGACAUAGUUCUUAUGCAUAGUGG
Molecule: long non-coding RNA, 725 nt
Filed under: Erythranthe guttata (spotted monkey flower)
Lineage: Eukaryota; Viridiplantae; Streptophyta; Magnoliopsida; Lamiales; Phrymaceae
Description: long non-coding RNA (EGUT_LNC000423)
Source: RNAcentral